RNAcentral lists this unclassified non-coding RNA (521 nucleotides) under Phomopsis sp. MAFF 238472. RNAcentral describes it as "partial contains ITS1, 5.8S rRNA and ITS2". The stretch from base 184 to 337 matches the Rfam family "5.8S ribosomal RNA". The record is from RNAcentral. Lineage: Eukaryota; Fungi; Ascomycota; Sordariomycetes; Diaporthales; Diaporthaceae.
GGAUCAUUGCUGGAACGCGCUUCGGCGCACCCAGAAACCCUUUGUGAACUUAUACCUAUUGUUGCCUCGGCGUAGGCCGGCCUCUUCACUGAGGCCCCCUGGAAACAGGGAGCAGCCCGCCGGCGGCCAACCAAACUCUUGUUUCUACAGUGAAUCUCUGAGUAAAAAACAUAAAUGAAUCAAAACUUUCAACAACGGAUCUCUUGGUUCUGGCAUCGAUGAAGAACGCAGCGAAAUGCGAUAAGUAAUGUGAAUUGCAGAAUUCAGUGAAUCAUCGAAUCUUUGAACGCACAUUGCGCCCUCUGGUAUUCCGGAGGGCAUGCCUGUUCGAGCGUCAUUUCAACCCUCAAGCCUGGCUUGGUGAUGGGGCACUGCCUGUAAAAGGGCAGGCCCUGAAAUCUAGUGGCGAGCUCGCCAGGACCCCGAGCGUAGUAGUUAUAUCUCGCUCUGGAAGGCCCUGGCGGUGCCCUGCCGUUAAACCCCCAACUUCUGAAAAUUUGACCUCGGAUCAGGUAGGAAUA